GAUAGAGGCGCGGUACGCAUCAGUACCCUUCCGCACAGGCCAGGCAGCCGCGGAAACGGGGAAAGGGAAUACCGCCGAAGCUGUGAAGAUGCCUGAAUCUUGGCAGCUGGGCCGUCAGAGAACAUCUGCCGGACUGUCACAAAGUCUUUUGUGAAGCGCUAUCA
Molecule: non-coding RNA, 164 nt
Filed under: uncultured Faecousia sp.
Lineage: Bacteria; Bacillati; Bacillota; Clostridia; Eubacteriales; Oscillospiraceae
Description: Lysine riboswitch
Rfam family: Lysine riboswitch aptamer
About the family: Riboswitches are metabolite binding domains within certain messenger RNAs that serve as precision sensors for their corresponding targets. Allosteric rearrangement of mRNA structure is mediated by ligand binding, and this results in modulation of gene expression. This family includes riboswitches that sense lysine in a number of genes involved in lysine metabolism, including lysC.
Source: RNAcentral